GAUGAACGCUAGCGGCAGGCCUAAUACAUGCAAGUCGGACGGGAUUCAGGAGCUUGCUUCUGAUGAGAGUGGCGCACGGGUGCGUAACACGUAUGUAACCUACCUUUAUCAGGGGGAUAGCCUCUCGAAAGAGAGAUUGAGCCCGCAUAAAAUCACAGCACAGCCUUGUGUAAUGAUCAAAUAUUUAUAGGAUAAAGAUGGGCAUGCGGAACAUUAGCUAGAUGGCGGGGUAACGGCCCACCAUGGCGACGAUGGGUAGGGGACCGGAGAGGAUGGCCGCGCACACUGGAACGGAGACAAGGUACGGACGACGAAGGGAGGGAGCAGGAGGGAAUCGUACGAAAGGGGCGAAAGCCUGACGGAGCAACGACGCGUGAGUGAAGAAGGUCUCAGGAUCGUAAAACUCUGUUAUUAGGGAAGAACAAAUGUGUAAGUAACUAUGCACGUCUUGACGGUACCUAAUCAGAAAGCCACGGCUAACUACGUG
Molecule: ribosomal RNA, 487 nt
Filed under: uncultured bacterium
Lineage: Bacteria
Description: partial 16S ribosomal RNA
Rfam family: Bacterial small subunit ribosomal RNA
Source: RNAcentral